AGCCAAGGCCCGGAUUUGAACCGGGGUAUAGCUGAUCUGCAGUCAGCCGCGUGUGCCUCUCCGCCACCUUGGC
RNAcentral lists this transfer RNA (73 nucleotides) under uncultured archaeon. RNAcentral describes it as "tRNA (AA: Cys, Cod: GCA)". The record is from RNAcentral.